This 141-nucleotide ribosomal RNA is filed under the name Lactobacillus crispatus. Its description in RNAcentral is "partial 16S ribosomal RNA". It matches the Rfam family "Bacterial small subunit ribosomal RNA", at positions 1 to 121 of the family's 1533-position model. The record is from RNAcentral. Lineage: Bacteria; Bacillati; Bacillota; Bacilli; Lactobacillales; Lactobacillaceae.
UUAAAAUGAGAGUUUGAUCCUGGCUCAGGACGAACGCUGGCGGCGUGCCUAAUACAUGCAAGUCGAGCGAGCGGAACUAACAGAUUUACUUCGGUAAUGACGUUAGGAAAGCGAGCGGCGGAUGGGUGAGUAACACGUGGG